Molecule: ribosomal RNA, 510 nt
Filed under: uncultured bacterium
Lineage: Bacteria
Description: partial 16S ribosomal RNA
Rfam family: Bacterial small subunit ribosomal RNA
Source: RNAcentral
GACGAACGCUGGCGGCGUGCUUAACACAUGCAAGUCGAACGAAGAGCGAUGGAAGCUUGCUUCUAUCAAUCUUAGUGGCGAACGGGUGAGUAACGCGUAAUCAACCUGCCCUUCAGAGGGGGACAACAGUUGGAAACGACUGCUAAUACCGCAUACGAUCCAAUCUCGGCAUCGGGACUGGAUGAAAGGUGGCCUCUAUUUAUCAGCUAUCACUGAAGGAGGGGAGUGCGUCGGCUUAGCUGGUUGGAGGGGUAACGGCCCACCAAGGCGAUGAUCAGUAGCCGGUCUGAGAGGAUGAACGGCCACAUUGGGACUGAGACACGGCCCAGACUCCUACGGGAGGCAGCAGUGGGGAAUCUUCCGCAAUGGACGAAAGUCUGACGGAGCAACGCCGCGUGAGUGAUGACGGCCUUCGGGUUGUAAAGCUCUGUUAAUCGGGACGAAUGGUUCUUGUGCGAAUAGUGCGAGGAUUUGACGGUACCGGAAUAGAAAGCCACGGCUAACUACGUG